ACUCGCUAAGCCAACACCGCGAGACACACACAAGCCUUCAAUGGAGAAAGAUUUGCUAUCCCACAGUUCUCUUUCUUUGUAACUUAACCUGCUCAUGAAAAAAAAUUAUAAUUUACACCAGCCCCGACCAUGGCCAAGCCUUGUGGAGGCAAAACGCGCGGUAUAAUUAAAGAAAGAUUUGACAAUAGAAGAAAGGAAGUCGGGGAACGCGGAAGAAGUUCUCGAUAUCGCCGCCUCUCUCCAUCAAACAGACCGCGGCUGCUCUGCGCGCGCACCCUGCCACCGACGCCAUCUUGCCUGUGCAACCACGGCCCGGAGUAAGUGUUUACAGUUGUUUGUUAUUACCUGUGAGGACCAUGUGGGCAUCCUCGGGCCAUGCCUCCCUCCCGCGGCCUCCCCCUCGCAGUCGCAGGCCCUAAUCCACCCUCUAAAGCCCCAGCUGACGUGAUGAGGACGACCACCAGCACCACCACCACCACCACCACUAGCACCGCCAGCAGCACCUCCUCCCUCAAGGCCACGACCAGCACGACCCGGCCAGCCUCCCGCCACACCACCCCAGCCAGGAGACACACUGCCUCUCACCUGCGGAUACAGAAGACGUCAAGAUUAUCAGAAAAUAUCCAAGACAAUCACACGUUUAAAUCCUACACCCCGCAUCCUUCCCCUCCCCCUCCUGGAUCCUCUCGGCCUGCUUGGGAGUCCUUCCUCAGGGUUCUCAGCCAACACUCAUGUUCUCUAUUGGUGCAGAAAUUCAUAUAUAUAUUUUGUUUUUCAUAAUUCAGAAACCUCCACGUAAAUUCUAUUAUUAGUGUGCAAAAUUAAUUUCCCUCACCUUUCCACAUAAUUAAGUGUUACAUUGUCUCAACAUUUUCUCUCGAUUUAUUGUAAAUGUGAAUUAAUAUAAAGUAUUAUUGAGCUUAAGUGAUAAUCAUAUAAGUUUGUCAAAAUAUAUUACGUUUCAGUGGAUUAUUUUCCAUUUCUUCUUUAAAUCGUGGCACAUGUUUCUUGCUUAAUGACGAGCAUCCAAAAUGAGAUCCUACGAGUGUCGGUUUAGGAGGAGAGACCCUUCCCUCGCCUGGCCUAACACACCCCCUAACACCCUACUAACACCAAAGUUAAUGCUCUACAUCUACCCUGUAGAUCCGAAUUUGUGAGAUAAUUGUUAACAAAUUCGGUUCUAGAGAGGUUUGUGUGGGGCAUACAUGGCAACUGUCUAACACACAUUAGUCUAAGUCUCCCGUGUGGCGUGAAGCUGAGGUGCCUCUAUUUCAGUCAAGUUAUCAGGAUGUGUGUGUGUGUGUGUGUGUGUGUGUGUGUGUGUGUGUGUGUGUGUGUGUGUGUGUGUGUGUGUGUGUGUGUGUGUGUGUGUGUGUGUGUGUGUGUGUGUGUGUGU
Long non-coding RNA from Scylla paramamosain (green mud crab), 1396 nucleotides. RefSeq lists it as uncharacterized. The record is from RefSeq and is a predicted model, not a curated record. The transcript has 2 exons. Lineage: Eukaryota; Metazoa; Arthropoda; Malacostraca; Decapoda; Portunidae.